This 1562-nucleotide ribosomal RNA is filed under the name Vibrio cholerae. Its description in RNAcentral is "partial 23S ribosomal RNA". It matches the Rfam family "Bacterial large subunit ribosomal RNA", at positions 1271 to 2818 of the family's 2925-position model. The record is from RNAcentral. Lineage: Bacteria; Pseudomonadati; Pseudomonadota; Gammaproteobacteria; Vibrionales; Vibrionaceae.
UGCUGGAGGUAUCAGAAGUGCGAAUGCUGACAUGAGUAACGACAAAGGGGGUGAAAAACCUCCUCGCCGGAAGACCAAGGGUUCCUGUCCAACGUUAAUCGGGGCAGGGUGAGUCGACCCCUAAGGUGAGGCCGAAAGGCGUAAUCGAUGGGAAACGGGUUAAUAUUCCCGUACUUCUGACUAUUGCGAUGGGGGGACGGAGAAGGCUAGGUGGGCCAGGCGACGGUUGUCCUGGUUCAAGUGCGUAGGCUUGAGAGUUAGGUAAAUCCGGCUCUCUCUAAGGUUGAGACACGACGUCGAGCUGCUACGGCAGUGAAGUCAUUGAUGCCAUGCUUCCAGGAAAAGCCUCUAAGCUUCAGAUAGUCAGGAAUCGUACCCCAAACCGACACAGGUGGUCGGGUAGAGAAUACCAAGGCGCUUGAGAGAACUCGGGUGAAGGAACUAGGCAAAAUGGUACCGUAACUUCGGGAGAAGGUACGCUCUUGAUGGUGAAGUCCCUCGCGGAUGGAGCUGACGAGAGUCGCAGAUACCAGGUGGCUGCAACUGUUUAUUAAAAACACAGCACUGUGCAAAAUCGCAAGAUGACGUAUACGGUGUGACGCCUGCCCGGUGCCGGAAGGUUAAUUGAUGGGGUUAGCGCAAGCGAAGCUCUUGAUCGAAGCCCCGGUAAACGGCGGCCGUAACUAUAACGGUCCUAAGGUAGCGAAAUUCCUUGUCGGGUAAGUUCCGACCUGCACGAAUGGCGUAAUGAUGGCCACGCUGUCUCCACCCGAGACUCAGUGAAAUUGAAAUCGCUGUGAAGAUGCAGUGUACCCGCGGCUAGACGGAAAGACCCCGUGAACCUUUACUACAGCUUGGCACUGAACAUUGAACCUACAUGUGUAGGAUAGGUGGGAGGCUAUGAAGACGUGACGCCAGUUGCGUUGGAGCCGUCCUUGAAAUACCACCCUUGUAUGUUUGAUGUUCUAACUUAGACCCAUUAUCUGGGUUGAGGACAGUGCCUGGUGGGUAGUUUGACUGGGGCGGUCUCCUCCCAAAGAGUAACGGAGGAGCACGAAGGUGGGCUAAUCACGGUUGGACAUCGUGAGGUUAGUGCAAUGGCAUAAGCCCGCUUAACUGCGAGAAUGACGGUUCGAGCAGGUGCGAAAGCAGGUCAUAGUGAUCCGGUGGUUCUGUAUGGAAGGGCCAUCGCUCAACGGAUAAAAGGUACUCCGGGGAUAACAGGCUGAUACCGCCCAAGAGUUCAUAUCGACGGCGGUGUUUGGCACCUCGAUGUCGGCUCAUCACAUCCUGGGGCUGAAGUCGGUCCCAAGGGUAUGGCUGUUCGCCAUUUAAAGUGGUACGCGAGCUGGGUUUAGAACGUCGUGAGACAGUUCGGUCCCUAUCUGCCGUGGGCGUUGGAAGAUUGAAGGGGGCUGCUCCUAGUACGAGAGGACCGGAGUGGACGAACCUCUGGUGUUCGGGUUGUGUCGCCAGACGCAUUGCCCGGUAGCUAAGUUCGGAAUUGAUAAGCGCUGAAAGCAUCUAAGCGCGAAGCGAGCCCUGAGAUGAGUCUUCCCUGA